CACGUAGGGUGCGAGCGUUGUCCGGAAUUAUUGGGCGUAAAGAGCUCGUAGGCGGUGUGUCGCGUCGGCCGUGAAAACCUGGGGCUUAACUCUGGGCGUGCGGUCGAUACGGGCAUCACUGGAGUUCGGCAGGGGAGACUGGAAUUCCUGGUGUAGCGGUGAAAUGCGCAGAUAUCAGGAGGAACACCGGUGGCGAAGGCGGGUCUCUGGGCCGAUACUGACGCUGCAGCGCGAAAGCUAGGGGAGCAAACAGG
RNAcentral lists this ribosomal RNA (254 nucleotides) under uncultured bacterium. RNAcentral describes it as "partial 16S ribosomal RNA". It matches the Rfam family "Bacterial small subunit ribosomal RNA", at positions 524 to 776 of the family's 1533-position model. The record is from RNAcentral.